AACGAACGCUGGCGGCAGGCCUAACACAUGCAAGUCGAACGCUGUAGCAAUACAGAGUGGCAGACGGGGGAGUAACACGUGGGAAUCUUCCUAUCGGUACGGAAUAGCUCAGGGAAACUUGGGGUAAUACCGCAUACGCCCUUCGGGGGAAAGAUUUAUCGCCGAUAGAUGAGCCCGCGUCUGAUUAGCUAGUUGGUGAGGUAAUGGCUCACCAAGGCGACAAUCAGUAGCUGGUCUGAGAGGAUGACCAGCCACACUGGGACUGAGACACGGCCCAGACUCCUACGGGAGGCAGCAGUGGGGAAUAUUGGACAAUGGGCGCAAGCCUGAUCCAGCCAUGCCGCGUGAGUGACGAAGGUCUUCGGAUUGUAAAGCUCUUUUGGCGGGGACGAUAAUGACGGUACCCGCAGAAUAAGCCCCGGCUAACUUCGUGCCAGCCGCCGCGGUAA
Molecule: ribosomal RNA, 449 nt
Filed under: uncultured bacterium
Lineage: Bacteria
Description: partial 16S ribosomal RNA
Rfam family: Bacterial small subunit ribosomal RNA
Source: RNAcentral